AGCGAACGCUGGCGGCGUGCUUAACACAUGCAAGUCGAACGGACAGCACUGUCAGUGGCGGACGGCUGGAUAACCCGACGGAAGGUGUACUGGUGAGGGACACACCCCCGAGAAACUGGGGCUAAUACGGAACAUGGGCUGAGGCCCGAUGCCGGGUCGCGCUGUUGGGGCGGCCUGCGUCCGAUUCGGUGGUUGGUGGGGUAAAGGCCUACCAUGCGUGGGAUGGUUAGCUGGUGUGAGAGGAAGACCAGGCACGCUGGGACUGAGACACGGGCCAGACUCGUACGGGAAGGAGCAGUAGGGAAUAUUGGACAAUGGGCGAAAGUCUGAUCAAGCAAUGCCGCGUGUGUGAAGAAUGUCUUCGGAUCGUAAAGCCCUUUCGACGGGGACGAUGAUGACGGUACCCGUAGAAGAAGCCCCGGCUAACUUCGUG
Molecule: ribosomal RNA, 433 nt
Filed under: uncultured bacterium
Lineage: Bacteria
Description: partial 16S ribosomal RNA
Rfam family: Bacterial small subunit ribosomal RNA
Source: RNAcentral